Molecule: non-coding RNA, 346 nt
Organism: Candidatus Aminicenantes bacterium RBG_13_62_12
Lineage: Bacteria; Candidatus Aminicenantota
Source: Rfam
GGGGGCGAACGGAUUCGACGGAGAUAUUGAGGCUAGGGCUGCAUGCCGAGAUUCCACCUCUCUCGUAAAACGGUGGACACAAGUAAGUGCAGAAACACUGCCCUUAGCUGCCUAACAAUUAGACAGCCGUCUCCCGGGACACUCUCCCGCGGUUCCCGGGGGGCGCCGACCAGCGGGAUAGCGGACCGGACCCGCCCCAGUACCGGCGAGCGAAACCUCACGGGGCUGGCUCCGUGGAUUCCCUCCUCUUCGGAGAAGCGGAGCGAGAGCAGCGGAGAGGAUACGCACGUAGACGCCCUUCGCUGAAUGUCUUCGGACGCGGGUUCGAUUCCCGCCGCCUCCAAAU